GCAUAACGCGAAGAACCUUACCAGGUCUUGACAUCCAAAGAAUUCUUACGAAAGUAGGAAGUGCCUUCGGGAGCUUUGAGACAGGUGGUGCAUGGUUGUCGUCAGCUCGUGUCGUGAGAUGUUGGGUUAAGUCCCGCAACGAGCGCAACCCUUGCUAUUAGUUGCUAACAGGUAGAGUUGAGCACUCUAAUGGGACUGCCCGUGACAAGCGGGAGGAAGGUGGGGAUGACGUCAAAUCAUCAUGCCCUUUAUGAUCUGGGCUACACACGUGCUACAAUGGAUGGUACAAAGAGAAGCAAGCCCGCGAGGUGGAGCGAAUCUCAAAAAGCCAUUCUCAGUUCGGAUUGGAGUCUGCAACUCGACUCCAUGAAGUCGGAAUCGCUAGUAAUUGCGAAUCAGCACGUCGCAGUGAAUGCGUUCCCGGGUCUUGUACACACCG
This 439-nucleotide ribosomal RNA is filed under the name uncultured bacterium. Its description in RNAcentral is "bacterial SSU rRNA". It matches the Rfam family "Bacterial small subunit ribosomal RNA", at positions 954 to 1392 of the family's 1533-position model. The record is from RNAcentral.